CCUACGGGUGGCAGCAGUGAGGAAUAUUGGUCAAUGGACGGAAGUCUGAACCAGCCAUGCCGCGUGCAGGAAGACGGCUCUAUGAGUUGUAAACUGCUUUUGUACAAGGGUAAACCUGAAUACGUGUAUUCAGCUGAAAGUACUGUACGAAUAAGGAUCGGCUAACUCCGUGCCAGCAGCCGCGGUAAGACGGAGGAUCCAAGCGUUAACCGGAUUUAUUGGGUUUAAAGGGUGCGUAGGCGGAUUGAUAAGUUAGAGGCGAAAUUUCCGGGCUUAACUCGGGAACUGCAUCUGAUACUGUUGAUCUAGAGGGUAGUAGAGGUAGGCUGAAUGUAUGGUGUAGCGGUGAAAUGCUUAGAGAUCAUACAGAACACCGAUUGCGAAGGCAGCUUACCAGUCUAUAUCUGACGUUGAGGCACGAAAGCGUGGGGAGCAAACAGGAUUAGAUACCCCAGUAGUC
RNAcentral lists this ribosomal RNA (460 nucleotides) under uncultured bacterium. RNAcentral describes it as "partial 16S ribosomal RNA". It matches the Rfam family "Bacterial small subunit ribosomal RNA", at positions 338 to 795 of the family's 1533-position model. The record is from RNAcentral.